Molecule: non-coding RNA, 40 nt
Filed under: Schistosoma mattheei
Lineage: Eukaryota; Metazoa; Platyhelminthes; Trematoda; Strigeidida; Schistosomatidae
Source: RNAcentral
AGUAGCUAGUCCCAAAUAGGACGAAACGCGCUUCCUGAAU